CACGGUUCCUCAAAAAACAUAAUAUCGUGUAUGAGCUAAACUAAAACUUAGGGUUUUACAUGGUUUUAUGUUUUCCAGUGGAUCUGGUUAGAGCUAUGUCACGCUAAAUUGUGUUCUUUGCAUUUCUUCUUACAAUACUUUUCAAUAGAACACUGUUUCGCAUGACACGGUUCCUCAAAAAACAUAAUAUCGUGUAUGAGCUAAACAAAAACUUAGGGUUUUACAUGGUUUUAUGUUUUCCAGUGGAUCUGGUUAGAGCCAUGUCACGCUAAAUAGCAUUCUUGUCAUUUCUUCUUUCCAUCCUUUAUAUUAUAUUAAAUAAUAUUUCAUACGGUAUUAUUUCGUUCUUUAAUUUAAUGUGUUUUUAGUGCUUCUGAAUGUGAUUUUGUUUUAAAUACUUAGCUUAUUAGCAUUCAUCAGUAUCCAAGAAUUCAUCAUACCACUGCUAAUCAAUAAACAAACAUCGGUCUUAGCGUUUAAAUACCGAAAAAAUACCUGCCUGUUCAUUUAUUACUUGUUUCAUUAAACAGGAAUUUGCAUAUCGAUCGUUUUCAAUUAACUUCGAACAGUUACAACUACACGUAAACUGAGCAUGUAGUCUAUUUACAGCAAGAUCGUGACCGCUGACUGCAGCUCUCCUUCUCCCUCCAUUUCACUCCCAACCGACAUUUUCACCUUUGCUGAUAUGAUUACUCCACAGGAUACCUCCAUCCCCUGCAUACCUGGUCGCUAGAUUCGGCUGGCACGUCAUAUCGGUUUGACAGCCAACUCACGUAACUAUUGUUGAUCGACCCACAGUCCACUGAAGUGCCUACGAUGAAGGGAACAACAUGGACAGUUCUACUCCGAAUUACUCCAACCCAUGCGAUGUUCAUCCAUGCGACAACCCACCUGAUCUGAGUGGAACUUAACUGAAGCAAGAGAGUGAUGCCUAAUUCCAUCUGCCAACUAGCUCCACUUCUCUCCCGUGCACCAGUCGCACCCACACCGACGUGUUCAUCUUGCCAGUUUUCCUCACACCCGUCCACUUGUCUCUUGAAGAUUGGCGUCCACAACACCAACGGUUGGUUAGGUCAUGCAAGCAUUGUUACAAUUGAUAAAAACACAUAUUUUCAUUUAGUGAAUGUGAUAACCUGUACUAAUAAUUUGGUCAACUUAGCGAUGAUAACUCAAUGUAAGUAUUAACAAACUCGGUACGUGUUUGUUAUUGUCAAUAAUAUCUUUAAAUUAUACAACUCGCUUAUGUUUGACAAUUACUGAGUAAUUGCUUUGCUUAUUGCAUGCUAAUUGCUGAAAAUUGCUUUUUAUUUUAAAUUCCUUAGCUAAAAAUUGCUUUUUCUUUCACAUUUCUCUGCUUAUUGAAUGACUAUUGCUAACUCAUUAGAUAGAACCUACUUCUCAUAUAAGUAGGUGGAUGCGGCCUCGAUUAGCGGGGGAACCACAUGAAAAAAAGCGAGCUACUGGGUGUACCUCCUGGGUAGUUUGGAAAUCACCUAAUAUAUAUAUGUAUAUAUUUAUAAAUAAAAGUUAAUAUAUAUAAAUUAACAUUAUUUUUUUUUAACAGGAAAUGCACAAUGAUAAAAACUGCGUAGGAGAUUUUAAUACAAUAGUACUACCAAGCCUGAUGUUGGCCGCUAUUUCAAUGAAUGCAGCAGUGUGACAGCUAGCAAUCAAAAGUAACAAGAUAUCGAGGAAAUGCAGAUGGCAAUAAACUGUGUAGGAGUUCAUGAUUGCAAUAGAAUAAAAUCGACCAAGCCUGAAGUCAGCAGCCCCCCUUCAAUGAAUGCAGCAGUGUGACAGCCAGCAAUCAAAAGUUACAAGAUAUCGAGGAAAUGCAGAAGGCAAAAAACUGCGUAGGAGAUCAUUAAUACAAAAGUAUUAUAUAAACCAAGCCUGAUGUUGGCCGCUCAUUCAAAGAAUGCAGCAGUGUGACAGCCAGCAAUCAAAAGUAACAAGAUGUCGAGGAAAUGCAGAGUGUAAUAAACUGUGUAGGAGAUUAUGAUUGCAAUAGAAUAAAAUCGACCAAGCCUGAAGUCCUUCAAUGCACGCAGCAGUGUGACAGCCAGCAAUCAAAAGUUACAAGAUAUCGAGGAAAUGCAGAAGGCAAAAAACUGCGUAGGAGAUUAUUAAUACAAUAGUAUUAUAUCAACCAAGCCUGAUGUCGGUAGCUUCUUCAAUGAAUGCAGCAGUGUGACAGCCAGCAAUCAAUAGUGACAAGAAUCUAGGAAAUACAGAAGGCAAAGAAGCAGAUGUCAUCAAAGAAGAUCUUUGUUCCUGCAAUGUUUCCGCAGACGAUACAUCCAACAGAGCGAAGUGGAAGGAAAAGACUCGGAAUAAAGACCCCACCACCAUAUGGGAACAAUGCAAGGGAGAG
Long non-coding RNA from Pectinophora gossypiella (pink bollworm), 2374 nucleotides. RefSeq lists it as uncharacterized. NCBI's taxonomy places the organism in Eukaryota, Metazoa, Arthropoda, Insecta, Lepidoptera, Gelechiidae. The transcript is spliced from 6 exons. The record is from RefSeq and is a predicted model, not a curated record.